GGCUACGGCCAUAUCACGAUGAAUGCACCUCAUCCCGUCCUAUUUGAGAAGUUAAGCAUCGUCGAGCCACAUCAGUACUGAGGUUGGAGACAACUUGGGAACCUGUGGUGCUGUAGUCU
Naegleria gruberi is the source of this 119-nucleotide ribosomal RNA. Lineage: Eukaryota; Heterolobosea; Eutetramitea; Acrasida; Naegleriidae. The record is from Rfam.